AACGAACGCUGGCGGCAUGCCUAACACAUGCAAGUCGAACGAGAGCACCGGAACUAGUGGCGCACGGGGGCGUCGCGCGUCGGAAGCGUCCCGUAUGCUUGGAAUAACUCUCCGACGGGGGUGCUAACACCGGAUAAUGUCUUCUAACCAAAGAUUUAUCGCAUUUGGUUGGGCCCGCGUUGGAUUAGCUAGUUGGGAGGGUAAAAGCCUACCAAGGCGACGAUCCAUAGCUGGGUAGAGGGGCUGGGCCGCCACUCUGAGAGGAAGACGCGGCCCAGACUCCUCCGGAAGGCGGCAGUGGGGAAUAUUGGACAACGGGGGAAGUCCUGAUCCACCAAUGCUGGGUGAGUGAUGAAGUCCUUAGGGUUGUAAAGCUCUUUUACCCGGGAUGAUAAUGACGGUACCGAGAGAAUAAGCUCCGGCUAACUCCGUG
Molecule: ribosomal RNA, 433 nt
Filed under: uncultured bacterium
Lineage: Bacteria
Description: partial 16S ribosomal RNA
Rfam family: Bacterial small subunit ribosomal RNA
Source: RNAcentral